GACGAACACUGGCGGCGUGCCUAAUACAUGCAAGUAGAACGCUGAAGAGAGGAGCUUGCUCUUCUUGGAUGAGUUGCGAACGGGUGAGUAACGCGUAGGUAACCUGCCUUGUAGCGGGGGAUAACUAUUGGAAACGAUAGCUAAUACCGCAUAACAAUGGCUGACACAUGUCAUUUAUUUGAAAGGGGCAAUUGCUCCACUACAAGAUGGACCUGCGUUGUAUUAGCUAGUAGGUGAGGUAAUGGCUCACCUAGGCGACGAUACAUAGCCGACCUGAGAGGGUGAUCGGCCACACUGGGACUGAGACACGGCCCAGACUCCUACGGGAGGCAGCAGUAGGGAAUCUUCGGCAAUGGGGGCAACCCUGACCGAGCAACGCCGCGUGAGUGAAGAAGGUUUUCGGAUCGUAAAGCUCUGUUGUAAGUCAAGAACGGGUGUGAGAGUGGAAAGUUCACACUGUGACGGUAGCUUACCAGAAAGGGACGGCUAACUACGUG
This 497-nucleotide ribosomal RNA is filed under the name uncultured bacterium. RNAcentral's name for it is "partial 16S ribosomal RNA". It matches the Rfam family "Bacterial small subunit ribosomal RNA", at positions 28 to 507 of the family's 1533-position model. The record is from RNAcentral.